AAUGAGAUGGUUGGGUGGACCCAAUUCAGCAAAGUCUCAAGGAAGUGAGAGCAUGAGGGGGUGUGCCAUGGGAAGGUCUGGGGGAAGAACAUUCCAGAAGGAUGGAGCAGCUGGAGCAGAAGUGCUGCCCCCGGAGAGUUACAGGGAUGGUGCUGCACCGAGUGUGCCUGGGAGGGGUGAGCAGUAGAAGCUGGCGGGGAGAAGGCGAGGUGGAGAGGAAGAAGGUGUGUGGGGACAUCUGAUGUCCACCGAGGCUCGUGUCCUCUGCGGGGCUUUGGGAAGUGCCUGGAUUACGGGCCAGCAGCAGACGGCUGGUGGGCGGUGUGGUCUGGCAGGCAGAGGCGGUCCCCGGAGGAGUGCAGUGAAGGGUGUCUGUCCCUCCUGCUCCUUUCAUGGUCCGCUUCCCGGAGCCCUUAGGCUAAGCAGCUUCUGUCCUGCCAGGCUGCUCUGCCAGGCUGCCCUCCUGCCUCGGAGCCAGCUGACGACAGCCUGAAAUGUGAGCCAAGAUAAACCCCCUUCUCGUCAGACAGUUGCCAGAGCCUUGCCUUUCAGAGGGGAAAAGACAUUUGAGCCUUGUAAGUGGCGUGAUCGGACUUGGCAUGUCUGGUUUCCGCAUUCAGAAUACACUGGGAAAGAGUGAAGACCAGCAGCAGGUGCGGAGAGCCCUGGCUGGAAGCUACCGGAAUAACCCAGGUGGCAAACAGCUCAGAGGUACCACUGCAAAGAAGCCGCGGAGGGGUCAGCGGCGCGGCCAGGAAGGACACAGCGCUUCUCACACGAGUGUCUGACGCCAGCCAGCAUGCGCCGGUCAGAGACCCACGAUCGCCUGGAGGCUGAGAACCUUGGAGAUUUCCCGUGCAAAGCUGCGUCAGCAUCCUCAGAGCACCUGGGAAAAUCCUGCAGCCCUUUCUGCUUGGGCAGGGUUAGGGCCGAGGUGCUCGGGAAGAAAAAGCCAAUUUGAAAUUUCUCUUAGUUUUGGAAGACAAGGGGAUAGUGACAUUUCUUAAAAAAAAAACAAAACACUGUAUUAAAGUAUGAUUGAUUCAGAAA
Cavia porcellus (domestic guinea pig) is the source of this 1050-nucleotide long non-coding RNA. RefSeq lists it as uncharacterized. Lineage: Eukaryota; Metazoa; Chordata; Mammalia; Rodentia; Caviidae. The record is from RefSeq and is a predicted model, not a curated record. The transcript has 2 exons.